Molecule: long non-coding RNA, 225 nt
Filed under: Capsicum annuum
Lineage: Eukaryota; Viridiplantae; Streptophyta; Magnoliopsida; Solanales; Solanaceae
Description: long non-coding RNA (CANN_LNC019521)
Source: RNAcentral
AUUACCCCACUCUUUCUUAAACCAUUUUCCACCGUCUGUACCACUCUGUUGUUGACCUUUACCUUGAUCCGAUUAUUGAAACUUCUUAUUCUGCCUUUCACUCAUCUCUUCUUACGUCUUCUUUUCCUCUUCCACUUGUUGCAUAUAAACCACAAGUCUAGAUAUGUCCAUAUCCUUGUUCAACAAGGCAGUCUUACUUUCCAAGACCAAAUCACGGGACAGCCC